This 1433-nucleotide ribosomal RNA is filed under the name uncultured organism. Its description in RNAcentral is "16S ribosomal RNA". It matches the Rfam family "Bacterial small subunit ribosomal RNA". The record is from RNAcentral.
CAGGCUUAACACAUGCAAGUCGAGGGGCAGCAUGGUCUUAGCUUGCUAAGACUGAUGGCGACCGGCGCACGGGUGAGUAACACGUAUCCAACCUGCCGUCUACUCUUGGACAGCCUUCUGAAAGGAAGAUUAAUACAAGAUGGCAUCAUGAGUCCGCAUGUUCACAUGAUUAAAGGUAUUCCGGUAGACGAUGGGGAUGCGUUCCAUUAGAUAGUAGGCGGGGUAACGGCCCACCUAGUCUUCGAUGGAUAGGGGUUCUGAGAGGAAGGUCCCCCACAUUGGAACUGAGACACGGUCCAAACUCCUACGGGAGGCAGCAGUGAGGAAUAUUGGUCAAUGGGCGAGAGCCUGAACCAGCCAAGUAGCGUGAAGGAUGACUGCCCUAUGGGUUGUAAACUUCUUUUAUAAAGGAAUAAAGUCGGGUAUGCAUACCCGUUUGCAUGUACUUUAUGAAUAAGGAUCGGCUAACUCCGUGCCAGCAGCCGCGGUAAUACGGAGGAUCCGAGCGUUAUCCGGAUUUAUUGGGUUUAAAGGGAGCGUAGAUGGAUGUUUAAGUCAGUUGUGAAAGUUUGCGGCUCAACCGUAAAAUUGCAGUUGAUACUGGAUAUCUUGAGUGCAGUUGAGGCAGGCGGAAUUCGUGGUGUAGCGGUGAAAUGCUUAGAUAUCACGAAGAACUCCGAUUGCGAAGGCAGCCUGCUAAGCUGCAACUGACAUUGAGGCUCGAAAGUGUGGGUAUCAAACAGGAUUAGAUACCCUGGUAGUCCACACGGUAAACGAUGAAUACUCGCUGUUUGCGAUAUACGGCAAGCGGCCAAGCGAAAGCGUUAAGUAUUCCACCUGGGGAGUACGCCGGCAACGGUGAAACUCAAAGGAAUUGACGGGGGCCCGCACAAGCGGAGGAACAUGUGGUUUAAUUCGAUGAUACGCGAGGAACCUUACCCGGGCUUAAAUUGCAGAUGAAUUACGGUGAAAGCCGUAAGCCGCAAGGCAUCUGUGAAGGUGCUGCAUGGUUGUCGUCAGCUCGUGCCGUGAGGUGUCGGCUUAAGUGCCAUAACGAGCGCAACCCUUGUUGUCAGUUACUAACAGGUUCCGCUGAGGACUCUGACAAGACUGCCAUCGUAAGAUGUGAGGAAGGUGGGGAUGACGUCAAAUCAGCACGGCCCUUACGUCCGGGGCUACACACGUGUUACAAUGGGGGGUACAGAGGGCCGCUACCACGCGAGUGGAUGCCAAUCCCAAAAACCUCUCUCAGUUCGGACUGGAGUCUGCAACCCGACUCCACGAAGCUGGAUUCGCUAGUAAUCGCGCAUCAGCCACGGCGCGGUGAAUACGUUCCCGGGCCUUGUACACACCGCCCGUCAAGCCAUGGGAGCCGGGGGUACCUGAAGUGCGUAACCGCGAGGAGCGCCCUAGGGUAAAACUGGUGACUGGGG